CAGACCUGAAAUCAGGCGAGGUUACCCGCUGAACUUAAGCAUAUUAUUAAGCGGAGGAGAAGAAAAUAACUAUGAUUCCCUUAGUAACGGCGAGUGAACCGGGAUCAGCUCAAAGUGGAAAUCAACUGCUCUUUCCGAGCUGUUGACUUGUAGCCUCGAGAGGCGUUACCAGUGGAAGCGCAGGGUUAAGUUUCUUGGGAAAGAACAUCAUAGAGGGUGAGAAUCCCGUCCUUCCCCUGCGUUUUUUGUUCCACGUACGGUACGCUUUUAUAGAGUCGCGUUCAUCGGGAUUUGAGCGCAAAAUGUGUGGUAGGUUUCACAUAAAGCUAAGUACUGGCGCGAGACCGAUAGCAAACAAGUACCGUGAGGGAAAGAUGAAAA
This 381-nucleotide ribosomal RNA is filed under the name Toxoplasma gondii ME49. RNAcentral's name for it is "Toxoplasma gondii rRNA TGME49_459000". It matches the Rfam family "Eukaryotic large subunit ribosomal RNA", at positions 1 to 370 of the family's 3401-position model. Lineage: Eukaryota; Apicomplexa; Conoidasida; Eucoccidiorida; Sarcocystidae. The record is from RNAcentral.